GAGCCGCCCCUCCAGUCGCCCGCGCUGCCACCAGCUCGUUCCUGACGAACUAAAGCCCCGCAUCGUGCUGUCUCUGCAGGUUGUUCCUGCAUUUUUUUGGGUUUCCUGUAGAACGUCCGAAGGAUUACUAAUAGAAAGCCUCGGUGUUCUUUUAUUUCACAAGCUUGUUGCUAGCCUAGCUGGUAGCCGAUCCGUGCCUGGACCAUGAGGUCUCUGGUUCAAAUCCCAGCCGCGCCAUGCAUAGUUUCGUUAAUUUUUUUGGUCAGAUUAGCUGUAGGUUGUGCUUC
RNAcentral lists this long non-coding RNA (287 nucleotides) under Hordeum vulgare. Its description in RNAcentral is "long non-coding RNA (HVUL_LNC011901)". The record is from RNAcentral. Lineage: Eukaryota; Viridiplantae; Streptophyta; Magnoliopsida; Poales; Poaceae.